AGAGUUUGAUCCUGGCUCAGGAUGAACGCUAGCGGCACGCUUCAUACAUGCAAGUCGAGGGGCAGCAUAAAGUACUUGUACUUUGAUGGCGACCGGCGAACGGGUGCGUAACGCGUAUGCAACUUACCUUUUACUAGAGAAUAGCCAAGAGAAAUUUUGAUUAAUGCUCUAUACUCUUAUUAACUCACAUGAGUUUUUAAGAAAAGCUCCGGCGGUAAAAGAUGGGCAUGCGUCCUAUUAGCUUGUAGGUGAGGUAACGGCUCACCUAAGCUCCGAUAGGUAGGGGUCCUGAGAGGGAGAUCCCCCACACUGGUACUGAGACACGGACCAGACUUCUACGGAAGGCAGCAGUAAGGAAUAUUGGACAAUGGAGGCAACUCUGAUCCAGCGAUGCCGCGUGAAGGAAGACGGCCUUAUGGGUUGUAAACUUCUUUUAUACAGGAAGAAACCUUUCCACGUGUGGAAAGCUGACGGUACUGUAAGAAUAAGGAUCGGCUAACUCCGUGCCAGCAGCCGCGGUAAUACGGAGGAUCCAAGCGUUAUCCGGAAUUAUUGGGUUUAAAGGGUCCGCAGGCUGUUUGUUAAGUCAGAGGUGAAAUCCUACCGCUCAAACGGUAGAACUGCCUUUGAUACUGGCAAACUUGAGUUAUUGUGAAGUAGUUAGAAUGUGUAGUGUAGCGGUGAAAUGCAUAGAUAUUACACAGAAUACCGAUUGCGAAAGCAGAUUACUAACAAUAUACUGACGCUGAGGGACGAAAGCGUGGGUAGCGAACAGGAUUAGAUACCCUGGUAGUCCACGCCGUAAACGAUGGUCACUAGCUGUUCGAUGUACAUUGGUACAUUGAGUGGCUAAGCGAAAGUGAUAAGUGACCCCACCCUGGGGAGUACGCUCGCAAGAGUGAAACUCAAAGGAAUUGACGGGGGCCCGCACAAGCGGUGGAGCAUGUGGUUUAAUUCGAUGAUACGCGAGGAACCUUACCAGGACUUAAAUGUAAGUUGCAUGAUUCAGAAAUGGAUCUUUCUUCGGACUACUUACAAGGUGCUGCAUGGUUGUCGUCAGCUCGUGCCGUGAGGUGUCAGGUUAAGUCCUAUAACGAGCGCAACCCCUAUUGUUAGUUGCCAUCAAGUAAAGUUGGGAACUCUAGCGAAACUGCCGGUGCAAACCGUGAGGAAGGUGGGGAUGACGUCAAAUCAUCACGGCCCUUACGUUCUGGGCUACACACGUGCUACAAUGGCCGGUACAGAAAGCAGCCACUAUGCGAAUAGGAGCUAAUCUUCAAAGCCGGUCUCAGUUCGGAUCGCAGUCUGCAACUCGACUGCGUGAAGCUGGAAUCGCUAGUAAUCGGAUAUCAGCCAUGAUCCGGUGAAUACGUUCCCGGGCCUUGUACACACCGCCCGUCAAGCCAUGGAAGCUGGGGGUACCUAAAGUCGGUGACCGAAAGGAGCCGCCUAGGGUAAAACUAGUAACUGGGGCUAAGUCGUAACAGGGUA
Molecule: ribosomal RNA, 1491 nt
Filed under: uncultured Flavobacteriia bacterium
Lineage: Bacteria; Pseudomonadati; Bacteroidota; Flavobacteriia
Description: bacterial SSU rRNA
Rfam family: Bacterial small subunit ribosomal RNA
Source: RNAcentral